GGAUGGCUUGGUCAAUAGAGCAUGAGACUCUUCAUCUCAUGGUCAUGGGUUCGAGCCCCAUGUUGGGCA
Podarcis lilfordi (Lilford's wall lizard) is the source of this 69-nucleotide non-coding RNA. The record is from the annotation of a GenBank genome assembly. NCBI's taxonomy places the organism in Eukaryota, Metazoa, Chordata, Lepidosauria, Squamata, Lacertidae.